GUUUUAUCAGCUCCUCAAAAGGAGCAAGCCUGGGACCUUGGCAGUUUGAAACAUUAUGAAGGAACCUGUUAUGAACAGAUGUGUAGGGGAAAGGUCAUUAUUGUGGGACGCUUGUGCAGGCUUAGGUCGCUGACUCACUGCUUUGGCAAAAGGCCGGCUUUGUUUAGGGGCUAUAAGAAUAAAGAGCCCGGCUAGCUCGGGGUAUAGAGUAUAGAGAAGAAGACUACUGCACAGCAACCGGUGUUCGUGUAUUCAUUUCGUCAGCAACAUCUGGCGCCCAACGUGGGUCUCGACCAGACUGAAAGGUUCUAGAUCUUUUUCAGGUUCAUCUGCAUAAGAAUAACACCUACACUGCAACUGCUUGCGUCAAAUUUCCCUAUUCCUUAUUAUCAGGGAAAAUUAUGUUAAAUGUUACAGAGGGAUAUGUAAAUUGUACUGCUGAUUGUGUCUUUACUCAAUGUGUAAACAAAACUUGGUGGGAGACAAUCAAAGAUACCAACAAAUCUGUAAUAAUUGUAAAAGCUCGUUCCGAGCUUUGGAUGCCUGUUAAUCUGACACGUCCUUGGUCUGACUCUAUUGCUGUUUCACAUCUGUAUGAUGCCCUUCAAGUUGUUCUACGUCGCUCCCGUCGACUAGUGGGAUUGAUCGUCACGACUAUCCUUGCGGUUGCAUCCGUUACUGCGACGGCCGCUGUGGCCAGCCUGGCACUGCAGCAAGAGAUACAAACUGCGGACUUUAUCAGGGAAUGGCAUAAAGACUCUCAUGCCUUAUGGCAACAGCAAAAGGACUUAGAUGCUCAAUUAGCUACAGAUGUAAUUAACUUGCAACAUACUGUAUCUUGGUUAGGAGAUCAACCGACAGUUCUUGCUACCCGCAGUAUAUUGAAAUGUGAUUGGAAUUCUACACAAAUGUGUCACCCCACUGCAUUUUAACAUGUCAGAAGGAUGGGAAAAGAUUAAGUGCUCUUUACGGGGUCAUCAAAAUUUAACUGCAGAGAUAAUGCAACUUGAACAAUCUCUUGCAGACACUUUCAGUAAAGAAUUGCCUAAAUUGACUGGGGAUGACCUGUUAAAGGGACCGCAGGAGGGGUUAAACCGUUUGAAUCCCUUGGGGCAUGUAAAUACGCUAUUGUCUACUUCUUUGGGAAAUCUGGUGCUAAUAUUGAUUUUAUGCUUGCUUCUCUAUGUAGUCUUCCGGCGCUGGAGAAAGCGACAACAACUAAAAGGUAUCGUUAAGACCGUUGCACAUGCUGUCCGUCAAAAUGCCAACAAAAGAGGGGGAGAUGAAGGAGACCUGGCAUGAAAUGUGGUUGUUCUUGCACGCGAGGCAUCCACAAGACUUGCUGGACUUUUCUGCAAACAGAAUGUUCUGCCUGGUGAACUCACAAGGCUCCAGGGAAAACAUUGCUUGCAAACAAGAAUGUUUUAUCAGCUCCUCAAAAGGAGCAAGCCUGGGACCUUGGCAGUUUGAAACAUUAUGAAGGAACCUGUUAUGAACAGAUGUGUAGGGGAAAGGUCAUUAUUGUGGGACGCUUGUGCAGGCUUAGGUCGCUGACUCACUGCUUUGGCAAAAGGCCGGCUUUGUUUAGGGGCUAUAAGAAUAAAGAGCCCGGCUAGCUCGGGGUAUAGAGUAUAGAGAAGAAGACUACUGCACAGCAA
This is a long non-coding RNA of Equus caballus (horse), 1658 nucleotides long. RefSeq lists it as uncharacterized. Lineage: Eukaryota; Metazoa; Chordata; Mammalia; Perissodactyla; Equidae. The record is from RefSeq and is a predicted model, not a curated record.